GUCUCUUUUCAGAGAUAUCCGAUAAAAUUGGAACGAUAUAAAAAAGAUUAAUAUGGCCUCUGCGUAAAGAUAACACACAAAUCGAGAAAUAAUCCAAAUUUAU
This is a small nuclear RNA of Eutrema salsugineum, 103 nucleotides long. The record is from Rfam. Lineage: Eukaryota; Viridiplantae; Streptophyta; Magnoliopsida; Brassicales; Brassicaceae.